UUUCUAGCUUGCUAGAAGAUGACGAGUGGCGGACGGGUGAGUAAUGCUUGGGAACUUGCCUUUGCGAGGGGGAUAACAGUUGGAAACGACUGCUAAUACCGCAUAAUGUCUACGGACCAAACGGGGCUUCGGCUCCGGCGCAAAGAGAGGCCCAAGUGAGAUUAGCUAGUUGGUAAGGUAACGGCUUACCAAGGCGACGAUCUCUAGCUGUUCUGAGAGGAAGAUCAGCCACACUGGGACUGAGACACGGCCCAGACUCCUACGGGAGGCAGCAGUGGGGAAUAUUGCACAAUGGGGGAAACCCUGAUGCAGCCAUGCCGCGUGUGUGAAGAAGGCCUUCGGGUUGUAAAGCACUUUCAGUUGUGAGGAAAAGUUAGUAGUUAAU
This 385-nucleotide ribosomal RNA is filed under the name marine sediment bacterium BB0608_AND_9.1_2G0. RNAcentral describes it as "bacterial SSU rRNA". It matches the Rfam family "Bacterial small subunit ribosomal RNA", at positions 72 to 464 of the family's 1533-position model. The record is from RNAcentral.